RNAcentral lists this ribosomal RNA (864 nucleotides) under uncultured archaeon. Its description in RNAcentral is "bacterial SSU rRNA". It matches the Rfam family "Archaeal small subunit ribosomal RNA", at positions 1 to 874 of the family's 1478-position model. The record is from RNAcentral.
AUUCCGGUUGAUCCUGCCAGAGGUCACUGCUAUCGGGGUUCGAUUAAGCCAUGCGAGUCGAGAGGGUUCGGCCCUCGGCGUACUGCUCAGUAACACGUGGAUAACCUGCCCUAAGGAAGGGGAUAACCCCGGGAAACUGGGGAUAAUACCCUAUAGGUUACAGGUGCUGGAAUGCUUUGUAACCCAAAGUUCCGACGCCUUAGGAUGGAUCUGCGGCCGAUUAGGUUGUUGUUGGGGUAACGGCCCAACAAGCCAGUAAUCGGUACGGGUUGUGGGAGCAAGAGCCCGGAGUUGGAUUCUGAGACACGAAUCCAGGCCCUACGGGGCGCACAGGCGCGAAAACUUUACAAUGCGGGCAACCGUGAUAAGGGAACCUCGAGUGCCUGUAUAUGCAGGCUGUCCAGGUGUCUAAAAAACACCUGAAGAAAGGGCCGGGCAAGACCGGUGCCAGCCGCCGCGGUAAUACCGGCGGCUCGAGUGGUGGCCACUUUUAUUGGGCUUAAAGCGUUCGUAGCUGGGUUGUUAAGUCUCUUGGGAAAUCUGACGGCUUAACCGUCAGGCGUCUAAGAGAUACUGGCAAUCUUGGAACCGGGAGAGGUGAGGGGUACUUCGGGGGUAGGAGUGAAAUCCUGUAAUCCUCGAGGGACCACCUGUGGCGAAGGCGCCUCACCAGAACGGCUUCGACAGUGAGGGACGAAAGCUGGGGGAGCAAACCGGAUUAGAUACCCGGGUAGUCCCAGCCGUAAACGAUGCGCGUUAGGUGUAUCGGUGACCACGAGUCACCGAGGUGCCGAAGGGAAACCGUGAAACGUGCCGCCUGGGAAGUACGGUCGCAAGGCUGAAACUUAAAGGAAUUGGCGGGGG